Long non-coding RNA from Hippocampus comes (tiger tail seahorse), 442 nucleotides. RefSeq lists it as uncharacterized. The record is from RefSeq and is a predicted model, not a curated record. NCBI's taxonomy places the organism in Eukaryota, Metazoa, Chordata, Actinopteri, Syngnathiformes, Syngnathidae. The transcript has 3 exons.
GCCGACACAACGACACGGAGAGGGCGGGAAAGGGGCACACGUUCGAGGAAUCUCGCGCCGUGCGAAUAUCGGAUGGCUCGCUCUACAACCAGGUGGCACUGAUAACAGCCGCACAUGACGACACGUGCGAGGAAGGUGAAAGUGGACCAGGGCGGUGCUAGGACGUGUUAGUGCCAGACGAGAAGGUGAACCUCCUGUCCCUCAUCGUCCUCACCUUCCGCCUCAUCUUCACCAAGACGCUCGCCAUCAACUGUGUCAUGACCCUGGGCAUGUGGUUCAGCGCAUCAGAGUAGCCAACGCGGCAUUCUCACCACCUUCCUGUUUUCAAACACCUAAAUGGAGGAGUAACAGCCGCAAUUAGUUUGGAUGGGUUUGUUUGUGUUUGAACUUGCAUGCUGUCUUCAUGUCAAUGAGCUACCAUAUCGAUCAUUAAAUCAAUUUG